AUCUCACAUUUAACAUUUAUCAGUUUGUAAAUGGAAUUAAAAACCCAAAUUUACAUAAAUAUAUAAAUGUCAAUGAAAAAUACUUAUUUUGAAUAUAAUUAAAAUAUAUACAUAUUGAAACAAAUGAAUAUUUUAUUUCAAAUAUGUAGCUGAACUCAUAAGUUCAAUGUAAUUAAAGAUUAACCAUUUGUGAUUCUUGACCACCUUUCAUUUUUAAACAACUUUGUGCCCAUUCUAAAAAGGUGCCUUGCUUUGUUUAUAGGCUAUCUGUUAGCUUAGAAUCAGAAUGAGCUUAACAGUAACCUAUAGGCAGCAGUGCAGCUCUUUAGUUUUAAGAACAAACAGGACCCAAACAGUGUCUUUUAUUGAAUCUAGAAGCAGACACUGCAGGGCGUUGACUGCAAACAUUCAGUCUGUCUCCAGCUCAGCACUGUAUUGGUUCUCGGGUGAUAACUGGACCCAUAACACCUGCUGGUUCUGCCCACUUCAAGGUCAUCGCUGGGCCCAGAGCACAGCUGUCCUGUGAAUCUUAUCAGGCCAUGAAUGGUGCAUUUGUGCAUCUGCAUGGGACGGCCCGGCACAGCCUGUGUGGGGGGUACAAACAUGCACACAGGCCAACAGUCGUACAGAUGAUGCUUCAAACAUCACACAUACAGACAAGAGAUUAUAGCAACAGCAUAAAGACUUCAGGUUCAGUAUUACUGAAGACCAACAAACUCCAGAAUCACCACUAAAAACACUACAACUAUUAGUAGGGGUGUAAAGAUUCACUGUCUUUCAGCUUAAGGCGUUUCCUUGGUUACCGCUGUAAACAAAGCGCUUGUGAACACCGCAGCAGGUGGAGCUUAAGGCGUUUCCUUGGUUACCGCUGUAAACAAAGCGCUUGUGAACACCGCAGCAGGUGGAGCUUAAGGCGUUUCCUUGGUUACCGCUGUAAACAAAGCGCUUGUGAACACCGCAGCAGGUGGAGCUUAAGGCGUUUCCUUGGUUACCGCUGUAAACAAAGCGCUUGUGAACACCUCAGAAGGUGGAGCUUAAGACGUUUCCUUGGUUACCGCUGUAAAGAAAGCGCUUGUGAACACCUCAGAAGGUGGAGCUUAAGACGUUUCCUUGGUUACCGCUGUAAACAAAGCGCUUGUGAACACCUCAGAAGGUGGAGCUUAAGACGUUUCCUUGGUUACCGCUGUAAACAAAGCGCUUGUGAACACCUCAGCAGGUGGAGCUUAAAGUGUUUCCUUGGUUACCGCUGUAAACCAGUCUUUGUGGCUGCAGAGAUGUUAUGGGGUGGUUGCCAGGUGCGUUGCUAGGGUUUCCUGGGAGACUGCAGACUAGUUAAUGCAGUUGUUAAAGUGUUUGGAUAAUUUUAGGGUGCUGCUGAGUGGUUGCUAGGGUCUUCUAAGACUUUCCUAUGUAGAUACUCAGACGUUUUUAAAAUGUUGCUAUGCGACUACAAAUAUGUUUUGGUGGGUUGCUAGGGUUUUCUGGGAGGCUGCAACUUUGUUUAGUGUUAAAAGUGUUGCUAGGGUGUACCGAGUGGUUCUCAGCAUGUUGCUAUGUGAUUGCUAGGCUGUUGUAUAGUGGUUGCUAAGGGCAUUGCUAUCUGGUUGCUAAAUGGUGUGUAACGUUAUCUGGGUUGUUUUCUAUGUGGAUACUAAAAAGGUGCCAUCGUAGCUGGUUGCUAGCGUUUUCUGGGUUGCUGCAAAUGUGUUGCUAAGGUCUUCUGGGUAGUUGCUAGGGUGUUCUUUGUUUUCACUCACAAGAUAUGACUCGCCCCUUCUUCGAUGUAAUAAACACAUUUUAUUAAGCAUUUAAAGGUAUAAUUACAUUUUACAAAUUACUGAUCUUACUUCAGCACACAUAAAACACAUAAAACCCCAAACUGGUCUGAGAUCAGUGGUUUACAGCUCUGGGACGCCCCACCAGUGGACUGUGGUGGCAGAUGCUAUAAAUAGGCUCCAUUGGUGGGGCGUUUUAAUUAAAUAUGAGGUAACAUGAUCUGUGUAGGGCAGACAGCAGCUCAUCCUAUCCAUUCGUUAUCAUUAACAGCUAAAUGGCUCUCAUGCGUGGUAACUUCAGCUUACUGUUAUGACAACAGGGUCAGAGUCUAUACAGGAAACAAUGAGACAAUCUCAUGAGCACCUACUCGACCGAAAACAUGAAACGGACAUGACAGGAGAUUCUAAUCUAAUGAGUACAGUGCAAUCAAACACUUCUGUACUGCAUCACCUGCUGGAACGAGGUGUUGGGUGACAGCAGAUGAAAACUGUCCUGGGAAGUUAUGUUCUGGAUCUCAGAGUAAAGUCAACUACAUACUAGAGAGAUCUAUGUUGGACAGAUGCAUACAAUUAGUGUAUAAAAAAAACACCAGCUAUAGCAAGACCUCAGAAACCAUCCAGAAGACCUCAGCAACUGCACAAUAAUGACCUAGCAACUUCUCGGAUAUUAGUUACUUUGCAGUAACAUGCUUAAAACACUCUGAACACCAGCAGCACAUGACAGGUACUCCUGAAAGGAUUGGCACAUUUGAACAAAACCGGUAAGAGUGAUCAACACCUAAAUACAAUACCAUAAACUAGCCAGCUCGGCAUUAACACUGCAAUUCAAUCCGAAGCACAAUCUAACAAGAAAAUUAGAUUAUGAAGAGGCUGUUAAAUUGGCAGUUUUUGCAUGAAAUGCAAUGUUUAAAUAGAUGAUUGUUUGUCUGAACAUUUGCGUCGUGACUCUGUGCAUCAUCUGUGGUUGUUCACCCCCCCAAAAUGCAACAACAUUCUUUCACACACACACACACACACACACACGUGAUCUAUCUCCUUCUGCAUUUUAAAAGCACAACCCAAAAGACGAGAGGACAGUAAGUCUGACGCCGUCAAUGCAGGACAUUCCUGAGUUAACUGUCCUGUGGCUUAAGGCCUAAAAUAAGAUUAGGCAGCUACUCGGAAAUCACACAGAUUUUCUAAACCUAGAAUCCAUUCUCUAGUGUCCACUAUGGUUUUACAAAAAAACACACAUAAAAAGAAAGUACAGCUUAAAAAAACUGACCUUUUGACAAUACAAACAUUACUAAAUUUAACUUAAUUGUAUGUAGCCGGUAAAAUGGUUGUGAAUAUAUUGUGAAUAUUCUGUAUGCAUAUAUAAAUGUUGAAAAACAUUUUCUUAGUAUUUUGAAAAUUAUAAAAAAAUAGUAUUAACAAAUAAUGUCUUUAUGAUGUACAAUUUAUAAUAUUAUUGCACACACCCGAAAAUCCUGGCAACCAACCUCUCAGAAGAUCUUAUUAACUUAAUUGCAGUAUGUUUAAAGAAAAUAAUCAGCAAGUUAUUGCUGAAAAAAAUAGCAAACUAUGAAAGUGUAAAAAAAAGUUACAGAAGUUUACGUUUACUUUAAAGGAAACAUACAAUACUAAAAAAAACUGCUUAAAUAGUCAUCAAAUCAAAGCCAUGUUUAAAGAUAUGUUCCAAAUUUGAAGUUGAUAUUACAAAAAAGUGGAGGUACCUAUAAGAUGUUGUUUAGGUGCUAUACCAAAAAUAGCCACUAGUUGAUAGCCAAACUAGAUUUUUUUUUAAUGCAAUUCGUCACAAAUGCAUAGAUAUGUCAGAAUAUUACUAAAAUAGUCACCGUAUACGGAACCUUGAGACUUAGACCUUUCCAAUAAUAUGUGAUUUGUCAAGAUUAGAAAAGAUUUCAAUGAUAAAAUAUUGUAUUGAUUUAUCCACUAGUAAAAAAUUGUAGUAAAAAAAUCCCCACUAAGGGGAGGAGCCUGCUGAAAGGAUUUAAAGUAUGGUAAAACAAUGUCCGAUUCCGCUCGCAUGUUUCUUUUAUAAAAUUUUUGCAGACAUAAAAAAAAGGUUUUAUAAGUUACAAAAUGCAACAGGGUCCAAUGUCCGAUUUCAGUUUUCACAAGAUGAAUUUUUGAAGUUUCAACUUUCGAAUGAUAACUAAUUUAGGAUGAUUACUAAAAUAUGUGAGGGGGAAAAGGCAAUAAUAAAAGAGCCCCAUAACAUGCAUAUAUCGUCUUUCUAAUGUACACUUUUCUUAUAUUAUUGCAUGCUAAAUGGUUGACUAUAGGGAAGUGGGUGUUGACUGGUGCUAAUGUGUGAAUACUAAUGCGCUUACGAUUGCCCUUCAGGCCAAUUUAAUGAACUGACGAUGGUUGGUUGUCCUGAACGUGUGUGUGCAAAGGUCAAGAAAACCCAGCCUCAGUUUGACCCCCAAAGCUUUCAAUCCUGCAAACGUGACCUAAUGCUUUCAGAAGUGCACGUGAGUCCGUGAGGAAGCAUUGAUUAACUCAAUUGACGGAAUGGUUACCAAGGACAUAAACAAUUCUACAGUUGCCACGGACACCAUCCAGCUCCAUUAUGAUGUCACAGCCUCAUCAAGAAUGCAGUUACAAUCCCAUGUGCAGCAUUACCAGAGUCUGGAACAUCAUAAUCAUGUCUUUGCAUCGGUGUUUCAGCAUUUUUACGCUUUUCAGGAAGCUUCACUGUGCUGUUGUUGAUUUGAUGUACAUUGCACUUAUAUUAGAACUAAUAAACGUGUUUGUAAGAUGCUCUCAUAUUGAGAAAAAAAACAAUGAGAUUUAAUUCUCUGCAAUCAUGCCCAAUGCGUCUAUACAGUGUUUAAAGUCAAAAGCAUUUCUGUAGCCUCUCUCCUCAAAGCUGCUGCACAAAAUGUCAGAACGAUUUAAAAAAUGUCAGAUUAAGAGUUCCUACCAUCACCACAACUAAUUAUUCAAAUAUCCCCCACUAGGGAGCUCUUGUGUUACCCAUAAGCUAUUUGGAAACAUAUCUGACCCCACAAUUCCCAAGGCGCACACGUUAAAGGAACAGUACACCAAAAAUUACAAAUCUAAUUUACAGAAUAAUUGAGAAUUAUGGCAGUUCCUCACACAAAACUAUUCCAAAAGGGCAGAAGGAUAUUAUUAUAAUUUAUAAAGUUAUAAUUUUUUUUUUUUACCCUCAUCGGGUUUAGUCCCCAUCCACUUGCAUUGUAUGAAACAGAUUGCCAAUGAUAUUGGGCUAAAUUUGUUUUUGCGUCAUUAAAUACAGUAAAUUCACGAUGUUUUAACAUCGUAAGGGUGAGUAAACACGGACUAAAUUAGCAUUUUUAGGUGAUCUGUCCCUUUAAGACCAACAUCAUUUCUGUUAUUUCAACAACGCAUCAAUCAGAGACGCGUAAAUCUUUAUCCACGUCAUUUUUUUUCCUACUACGCGGUCUAAUUGUUUAAGUAUAAGAGUAUAUAAUGUCCUUAAGAGGUUCAAUACGAUCUGUGGUUUGCGAAUCCCUUUAAAUCCACGAGAGCUGCACCUGUGCAGCCGCCCGACGGGUUUACUGUGGGGUGUGAUGUCUGUUUCUGUAUCCUACGACACCCUGUUAUUGGAUACACAUUAUAUACUGUACUAUUAUAGCACUAUAUAACGUUAUACAGGGAAUAAAGCAAUGUAGUCCUGUGCCAAUUCAUGAAACGAUCUCUAAAACCCAUCACUGACAAUCACGCGCACGUUAAUGAAAGGCGAGCACGCGUUACCUGGGA
This is a long non-coding RNA of Carassius gibelio (silver crucian carp), 5528 nucleotides long. RefSeq lists it as uncharacterized. The record is from RefSeq and is a predicted model, not a curated record. Lineage: Eukaryota; Metazoa; Chordata; Actinopteri; Cypriniformes; Cyprinidae. The transcript has 3 exons.